AUGCUUCUCUGCGCAGAGUCCUGGAUGCUCCCUAGCCAAGCUCCUGCAUCUUUUCUGUAUGGAAGAGGCCCUUGUUUGGACCGAGGCAGCAUCAGGCUUGACUGUGAAAAGCCAAGAUCAGAACGUGGAGGUGGAAAACAUCUCACUGAAAGCAUCCAAGAGGAACUGCUCUUGCAUCUUUCAAUGGAUCCCUUCAGAAGGGCAAUUCACAAGAUUUUGCACAGACACAAGAGAAAUAAGGGCGCUUAGAAGGAUGAGCUCCCAAUGACCACACGGAGGAUCAACUCUUCCAGCAAAUACCACCAACUCAGUCUCAACUACUGGACAGUUUCCCAGGUCCUAGGGAUGUGAAUGGGACCCAAAGGCAACCCUGGUAUGUUGUGCCUCAUCUCAUCUCCUUAUGGCAUUCAAAUAAAUAGUAAUCAAUAGGCAAUUUACAUCUCUGCUGCAGCAUUUGCUAAAAAUGCCAAGGGAAAAAGUGCACUGCCUUAGUGCACAGCAAAACUCACAACUCCUCUCCCCGGGCUGUCUCUGUUCUCAUCAUUCCAUACAUAGCCCCUGAGACUCACUCAUAAAUCAAACCCUAGCAGCCUUUCUGCUUUUUCUCACUUCCCUAUUUGGUGUCAGCUACUGGCUUCUUCCAGUUUUCCUUUUCUACCAUCACCCAGAUACUGUGUGAGAAAAGAGAGGAGUAAGCCAAGUGGGCCUGGGGCAGAAACAGAUGGCACAGAUUUACAACUUAUAUUUUCUUUUAUAACUUGUCAUUUAUUCCUCCUUCAAGGAGUGCCCAUUCUGAGCAUGGCUGUGUUUUAGUCAAACCAAGGUGUAAAAUAUUAUGUUAUCAUCUGUGUGUUGAUAAAUAAGCCUUAGCAUUAGUAAAAAAAAAAAAGAAAGAAAGAAAGAAAGAAUUUAACAGUGAGCAAAGAAGCUUUAAUGUCCUCAAAUGUGAUCCAGGAAUAGCUCCUUUGUGAGAGUGGAGAAAACAGACCUGCUUUUUCCUAAUUCCCAAUGGCCAGUUUCUUAAAAUCAAUCUAGGAAUCAUUUGCGACAACAUGGAUGGAACUACAGCGUAUCAUGCUUAGCGAAAUAAGUCAAGCAGAGAAAGACAACUAUCAUAUGAUCUCCCUGAUAUGAGGAAGUGGUGAUGUAACAUGNN
RNAcentral lists this long non-coding RNA (1156 nucleotides) under Mustela putorius furo (domestic ferret). RNAcentral's name for it is "lncRNA (ENSMPUG00000024771.1)". Lineage: Eukaryota; Metazoa; Chordata; Mammalia; Carnivora; Mustelidae. The record is from RNAcentral.